GAUGAACGCUGGCGGCGUGCUUAACACAUGCAAGUCGAACGGAAAGGCCAGUGCUUGCACUGGUACUCGAGUGGCGAACGGGUGAGUAACACGUGGGUGAUCUGCCCUGCACUUCGGGAUAAGCCUGGGAAACUGGGUCUAAUACCGGAUAGGACAAUGGUUUGGAUGCCGUUGUGGAAAGUUUUUUCGGUGUGGGAUGAGCUCGCGGCCUAUCAGCUUGUUGGUGGGGUAAUGGCCUACCAAGGCGUCGACGGGUAGCCGGCCUGAGAGGGUGUACGGCCACAUUGGGACUGAGAUACGGCCCAGACUCCUACGGGAGGCAGCAGUGGGGAAUAUUGCACAAUGGGCGCAAGCCUGAUGCAGCGACGCCGCGUGGGGGAUGGCGGCCUUCGGGUUGUAAACUCCUUUCGCUAGGGACGAAGCGUAUUUGUGACGGUACCGGGAGAAGAAGCACCGGCUAACUACGUG
This 468-nucleotide ribosomal RNA is filed under the name uncultured bacterium. Its description in RNAcentral is "partial 16S ribosomal RNA". It matches the Rfam family "Bacterial small subunit ribosomal RNA", at positions 28 to 507 of the family's 1533-position model. The record is from RNAcentral.